This 592-nucleotide ribosomal RNA is filed under the name uncultured fungus. RNAcentral's name for it is "eukaryotic LSU rRNA". The stretch from base 211 to 364 matches the Rfam family "5.8S ribosomal RNA". The record is from RNAcentral. Lineage: Eukaryota; Fungi.
AGUCGUAACAAGGUCUCCGUAGGUGAACCUGCGGAGGGAUCAUUACACAAAUAUGAAGGCGGGCUGGAACCUCUCGGGGUUACAGCCUUGCUGAAUUAUUCACCCUUGUCUUUUGCGUACUUCUUGUUUCCUUGGUGGGUUCGCCCACCACUAGGACAAACAUAAACCUUUUGUAAUUGCAAUCAGCGUCAGUAACAAAUUAAUAAUUACAACUUUCAACAACGGAUCUCUUGGUUCUGGCAUCGAUGAAGAACGCAGCGAAAUGCGAUAAGUAGUGUGAAUUGCAGAAUUCAGUGAAUCAUCGAAUCUUUGAACGCACAUUGCGCCCUUUGGUAUUCCAAAGGGCAUGCCUGUUCGAGCGUCAUUUGUACCCUCAAGCUUUGCUUGGUGUUGGGCGUCUUGUCUCUAGCUUUGCUGGAGACUCGCCUUAAAGUAAUUGGCAGCCGGCCUACUGGUUUCGGAGCGCAGCACAAGUCGCACUCUCUAUCAGCAAAGGUCUAGCAUCCAUUAAGCCUUUUUUUUCAACUUUUGACCUCGGAUCAGGUAGGGAUACCCGCUGAACUUAGGCAUAUCAAUAAGCGGAGGAAAGUCG